This 72-nucleotide transfer RNA is filed under the name Salmonella enterica subsp. houtenae str. CFSAN000557. Its description in RNAcentral is "tRNA-Arg". It matches the Rfam family "tRNA". Rfam says of the family: Transfer RNA (tRNA) molecules are approximately 80 nucleotides in length. Their secondary structure includes four short double-helical elements and three loops (D, anti-codon, and T loops). Lineage: Bacteria; Pseudomonadati; Pseudomonadota; Gammaproteobacteria; Enterobacterales; Enterobacteriaceae. RNAcentral also lists the same sequence under 1 other name. The record is from RNAcentral.
GCGCUGUUAGCUCAGCAGGACAGAGCAAUUGCCUUCUAAGCAUCACUGGUUCGACUCCAGUACAGCGUACCA